AACAUCGCGCACCUGCGGGAACCUGCGGAAGGAUCAUUACAGAGUGUAAAAACUCCCAAAACCCAUGUGAACAUACCUUUUUGUUGCUUCGGCGGGAUCGCCCCGGGCGCCUUGUGUGCCCCGGAGUCAGGCGCCCGCCGGGGGACCCAAACUCUUGUUUUUAACGAGUAUCUUCUGAGUAACGUUUUUAAAUAAAUAAAAACUUUUAGCAACGGAUCU
Molecule: unclassified non-coding RNA, 219 nt
Filed under: soil metagenome
Description: partial contains 5.8S ribosomal RNA, internal transcribed spacer 2, and large subunit ribosomal RNA
Source: RNAcentral